CAAUAAUGUGAAUCCUGAAUCUUUUUCAUGUGUCACAUGGAGCCAGUCUCAGAGAACCAGUCAGAUCCCUGCCACAGUCCAGACUGUCAGCCAGGAUGAAAAUCAGCAGCACAUAUACUCCUCUCUUCUCCACGGUGAUGCUUGUGUCUAUGAGUCACUCAGAGGUCCUGAAAACACUGGAGAUGUUGGACGGGCCGGUGGCUCCACAAAUGUCAAAUCUCAGACUGAGCUCAGAGAUGUUGGACAGAGGAGAAAACGAGGUGAUCCAGGGAAGAGCUCUGACUACUAGAAUGUGAAUCCAGACUCAUCUACAGGUCCAUAAAGAGAAGUGCAUCAUCAAUGAAACAAGACAAGUCUGGACAACAACAUGAAGAACAACAUUCAUCUGUAAACAUGUGUUUGAUGACAUUUAUUCAACUGCUGCCAUCCAGACAUCAGACACAUAGUCAUUAAUGAA
Mugil cephalus (flathead mullet) is the source of this 457-nucleotide long non-coding RNA. RefSeq lists it as uncharacterized. The transcript is spliced from 5 exons. NCBI's taxonomy places the organism in Eukaryota, Metazoa, Chordata, Actinopteri, Mugiliformes, Mugilidae. The record is from RefSeq and is a predicted model, not a curated record.